This 329-nucleotide unclassified non-coding RNA is filed under the name soil metagenome. RNAcentral describes it as "partial contains 5.8S ribosomal RNA, internal transcribed spacer 2, and large subunit ribosomal RNA". The stretch from base 1 to 120 matches the Rfam family "5.8S ribosomal RNA", at positions 35 to 154 of the family's 154-position model. The record is from RNAcentral.
GAUGAAGAACGCAGCGAAAUGCGAUAAGUAGUGUGAAUUGCAGAAUUCAGUGAAUCAUCGAAUCUUUGAACGCACAUUGCGCCCCUUGGUAUCCCGAGGGGCAUGCCUGUUCGAGCGUCAUUUCACCACUCAAGCCUGGCUUGGUGUUGGGUGACGUCCCCUUUGGGGACGCGCCUCGAAACGCUCGGCGGCGUGGCACCGGCUUUAAGCGUAGCAGAAUCUUUCGCUUUGGAAGUCGGGGCCCCGUCUGCCGGAAGACCUACUCGCAAGGUUGACCUCGGAUCAGGCAGGGAUACCCGCUGAACUUAAGCAUAUCAAUAAGCGGAGGA